This 205-nucleotide ribosomal RNA is filed under the name Bacillus cereus. RNAcentral's name for it is "partial 16S ribosomal RNA". It matches the Rfam family "Bacterial small subunit ribosomal RNA", at positions 1 to 199 of the family's 1533-position model. The record is from RNAcentral. Lineage: Bacteria; Bacillati; Bacillota; Bacilli; Caryophanales; Bacillaceae.
UUUAUUGGAGAGUUUGAUCCUGGCUCAGGAUGAACGCUGGCGGCGUGCCUAAUACAUGCAAGUCGAGCGAAUGGAUUAAGAGCUUGCUCUUAUGAAGUUAGCGGCGGACGGGUGAGUAACACGUGGGUAACCUGCCCAUAAGACUGGGAUAACUCCGGGAAACCGGGGCUAAUACCGGAUAACAUUUUGAACCGCAUGGUUCGAA